CGCCCAACAGCUAGCCCAAAAACAACCCACAACAACCAACCAUUAAUACCCCCCAAUAACCUAAAGCCAUCUAAACAAACCAUUUUUCCCCCUUAGUAUGGGCGACAGAAAAGGACCCAGGAGCAACAGAAAAAGUACCGCAAGGGAAAGCUGAAAAAGAAAUGAAACAACCCAUCAAUUAAGCCCAAAAAAGCAGAGAAUCAAACUCGUACCUUUUGCAUCAUGAUUUAGCUAGUACCCCCUAAGCAAAGAGCCCUUUAGUUUAGCCCCCCGAAACUGAGCGAGCUACUCCAAGACAGCCUAUCAUAGGGCUAACCCGUCUCUGUGGCAAAAGAGUGGGGAGAGCUUUGAGUAGAGGUGAAAAGCCUACCGAGCCCAGUAAUAGCUGGUUGCCUAAGAAAUGAAUAUAAGUUCAGCCUCCAAGCCUUCCCACCCCAAGCAAGUCUCACCCACAUUGGCCCUAGGAAGCCCAGAGAGUUAGUUAAAGGAGGUACAGCUCCUUUAAAAAAGAUACAACUUUUCCAGGCGGAUAUAGAUCAAAAUUAAGCAAGGUAUGUGUUUUAGUGGGCUUGGAAGCAGCCACCAUAGCAGAAAGCGUUAAAGCUCAGACAUACUCACACCUCCCCCAAUCCCGAUAAAAAAUCUAAAUCCCCAACCUGAUAUUAGGCCCCCUCAUGCCACCAUGAGAGAGUUUAUGCUAAAAUGAGUAACAAGAGGGCACGCCCCUCUCCUUGCACAAGUGUACAUCGACAUGGACCCACCACCGACCAUUAAACGGCCCCAAUCACAGAGGGGAGUGAACAGUAAACAACAAACUAGAAGACCACUCAACAGCCACCGUUAGCCCCACACUGGCGUGCAAUUAAGGAAAGACUAAAAGAAAAAGAAGGAACUCGGCAAACCUGGGCUCCGCCUGUUUACCAAAAACAUCGCCUCUUGCAACUAACAUAUAAGAGGUCCCGCCUGCCCUGUGACAAUUGUUCAACGGCCGCGGUAUUUUGACCGUGCGAAGGUAGCGUAAUCACUUGUCUUUUAAAUGAAGACCUGUAUGAAUGGCACGACGAAGGCCCAGCUGUCUCCUUUUUCAGGUCAGUGAAAUUGAUCUUCCCGUGCAGAAGCGGAAAUGACAACAUAAGACGAGAAGACCCUAUGGAGCUUCAGACAUAGGGCAGCUCACGUCAAGCACCCCCCGAUAAAGGGCUAAACCAAGUGAACCCCUACCCCAAUGUCUUUGGUUGGGGCGACCACGGGGAAAAACCAAGCCCCCACGCGGACAAAGGAGUAACCCUCCUACAACCAAGAGCCACCACUCUAAGUAACAGAAAUUCUGACCAAAAUGAUCCGGCAACGCCGAUCCACGGACCGAGUUACCCUAGGGAUAACAGCGCAAUCCUCUUCCAGAGCCCAUAUCUACAAGAGGGUUUACGACCUCGAUGUUGGAUCAGGACAUCCUAACGGUGCAACCGCUGUUAAGGGUUCGUUUGUUCAACGAUUAAAGUCCUACGUGAUCUGAGUUCAGACCGGAGUAAUCCAGGUCAGUUUCUAUCUAUGCUGUGCUCUUUUCUAGUACGAAAGGACCGAAAAGAAGAGGCCCAUGCUUGAAGCACGCCUCCCCUCCCCCUGAUGAAAACAACUAAAUCAGGCAAAAGGCACACCUCCGGCAGCCCAAGAAAAAGGCGU
Molecule: ribosomal RNA, 1680 nt
Filed under: Diretmus argenteus (silver spinyfin)
Lineage: Eukaryota; Metazoa; Chordata; Actinopteri; Trachichthyiformes; Diretmidae
Description: 16S rRNA
Rfam family: Bacterial large subunit ribosomal RNA (bases 96-1600)
Source: RNAcentral